AGUGAACGCUGGCGGUAGGCCUAACACAUGCAAGUCGAACGGCAGCACAGUAAGAGCUUGCUCUUACGGGUGGCGAGUGGCGGACGGGUGAGGAAUACAUCGGAAUCUACUUUUUCGUGGGGGAUAACGUAGGGAAACUUACGCUAAUACCGCAUACGACCUACGGGUGAAAUCAGGGGAUCUUCGGACCUUGCGCGACUGAAUGAGCCGAUGUCGGAUUAGCUAGUUGGCGGGGUAAAGGCCCACCAAGGCGACGAUCCGUAGCUGGUCUGAGAGGAUGAUCAGCCACACUGGAACUGAGACACGGUCCAGACUCCUACGGGAGGCAGCAGUGGGGAAUAUUGGACAAUGGGCGCAAGCCUGAUCCAGCCAUACCGCGUGGGUGAAGAAGGCCUUCGGGUUGUAAAGCCCUUUUGUUGGGAAAGAAAAGCAGCAGGUUAAUACCCCGCUGUUCUGACGGUACCCAAAGAAUAAGCACCGGCUAACUUCGUG
RNAcentral lists this ribosomal RNA (492 nucleotides) under uncultured bacterium. RNAcentral describes it as "partial 16S ribosomal RNA". It matches the Rfam family "Bacterial small subunit ribosomal RNA", at positions 29 to 507 of the family's 1533-position model. The record is from RNAcentral.